This 48-nucleotide unclassified non-coding RNA is filed under the name synthetic construct. RNAcentral's name for it is "TMR3 (48-MER) from synthetic construct (PDB 6GZK, chain A)". The record is from RNAcentral.
GGACGACUGAACCGAAAGGUUCUUGGCUGCUUCGGCAGAGGUACGUCC